UAGAAGCAGCCACCAUUGAAAGAGUGCGUAAUAGCUCACUGGUCGAGUGACCCCGCGCCGAAAAUGUACCGGGGCUAAACAUAUUACCGAAACUGUGGAUGAACCUCUUUAGAGGUUCGUGGUAGGAGAGCGUUCUAAGGGCGGUGAAGUCAGACCGGAAGGACUGGUGGAGCGCUUAGAAGUGAGAAUGCCGGUAUGAGUAGCGAAAGAAGGGUGAGAAUCCCUUCCACCGAAUAUCUAAGGUUUCCUGAGGAAGGCUCGUCCGCUCAGGGUUAGUCGGGACCUAAGCCGAGGCCGAUAGGCGUAGGCGAUGGACAACAGGUAGAGAUUCCUGUACCAGUGCUAAUUGUUUAACCGAUGGGGUGACACAGAAGGAUAGGGAAUCGCACGAAUGGAAAUGUGCGUCCAAGCAGUGAGUGUGA
RNAcentral lists this ribosomal RNA (422 nucleotides) under Listeria monocytogenes. Its description in RNAcentral is "partial 23S ribosomal RNA". It matches the Rfam family "Bacterial large subunit ribosomal RNA", at positions 1107 to 1528 of the family's 2925-position model. The record is from RNAcentral. Lineage: Bacteria; Bacillati; Bacillota; Bacilli; Caryophanales; Listeriaceae.